GCAUUAGAGGCCAAGCUAUAAUACCCACAUUUAUUGUCAAUGGGUUUCCCUUCAAGUAUUCAUGGCGCCCAUAAUCUUCAGUCCGUGUUAAUGGAUUGGUUUUAUGGCUUUAUUUGGUAAAUUGGGCUUUAAGUCUUUGAUGCUUUAUAUAAAAUUGGGUGGCUUUA
This is a non-coding RNA of Camellia sinensis, 167 nucleotides long. Lineage: Eukaryota; Viridiplantae; Streptophyta; Magnoliopsida; Ericales; Theaceae. The record is from RefSeq and is a predicted model, not a curated record.